RNAcentral lists this ribosomal RNA (329 nucleotides) under uncultured eukaryote. RNAcentral describes it as "partial 18S ribosomal RNA". It matches the Rfam family "Eukaryotic small subunit ribosomal RNA", at positions 1470 to 1796 of the family's 1831-position model. The record is from RNAcentral.
CCCUUAGAUGUCCUGGGCCGCACGCGCGCUACACUGAGUGUCUGAGAUACGAGUCUGCCUGGUCCGGCAAGGUCUAGGUAAUCGCUAAAAGACACAUCAUGCUUGGGAUAGAUUAUUGCAAAUAUUAAUCUUGAACGAGGAAUUCCUAGUAAGCGCAAGUCAACAGCUUGCGUUGAUUACGUCCCUGCCCUUUGUACACACCGCCCGUCGCUACUACUGAUUGGAUGUUUAAGCGAGGUUCUCGAACUGCUAGCAACUUAGCUUCGGUGAGGUCGCAGUGUGGGAAGUGAACCUAGCCUUGGUGUCUAGAGGAAGUAAAAGUCGUAACA